GUUCAGGUUCAUACCUCUUCUUCUCUGAUCUCUUCCUUGACAA
RNAcentral lists this small RNA (43 nucleotides) under Arabidopsis thaliana (thale cress). RNAcentral's name for it is "ATSL285660". Lineage: Eukaryota; Viridiplantae; Streptophyta; Magnoliopsida; Brassicales; Brassicaceae. The record is from RNAcentral.